RNAcentral lists this ribosomal RNA (466 nucleotides) under uncultured bacterium. RNAcentral describes it as "partial 16S ribosomal RNA". It matches the Rfam family "Bacterial small subunit ribosomal RNA", at positions 28 to 507 of the family's 1533-position model. The record is from RNAcentral.
GACGAACGCUGGCGGCGUGCUUAACACAUGCAAGUCGAACGGUAAGGCUCCAGCUUGCUGGGGUACACGAGUGGCGAACGGGUGAGUAACACGUGGGUGACCUGCCCUGCACUUCGGGAUAAGCCUGGGAAACUGGGUCUAAUACCGGAUAGGACCAUGGUGUGGAUACUGUGGUGGAAAGUUUUUUCGGUGUGGGAUGGGCCCGCGGCCUAUCAGCUUGUUGGUGGGGUAAUGGCCUACCAAGGCGGCGACGGGUAGCCGGCCUGAGAGGGUGGACGGCCACAUUGGGACUGAGACACGGCCCAGACUCCUACGGGAGGCAGCAGUGGGGAAUAUUGCACAAUGGGCGGAAGCCUGAUGCAGCGACGCCGCGUGGGGGAUGACGGCCUUCGGGUUGUAAACUCCCUUCACCAUCGACGAAGGGUUUCUGACGGUAGAUGGAGAAGAAGCACCGGCUAACUACGUG